AUGAACGCUGGCGGCGUGCCUAAUACAUGCAAGUCGCGCGAACAGACGAGGAGCUUGCUCCUCUGACGUUAGCGGCGGACGGGUGAGUAACACGUGGAUAACCUACCUAUAAGACUGGGAUAACUUCGGGAAACCGGAGCUAAUACCGGAUAAUAUAUUGAACCGCAUGGUUCAAUAGUGAAAGACGGUUUUGCUGUCACUUAUAGAUGGAUCCGCGCCGCAUUAGCUAGUUGGUAAGGUAACGGCUUACCAAGGCAACGAUGCGUAGCCGACCUGAGAGGGUGAUCGGCCACACUGGAACUGAGACACGGUCCAGACUCCUACGGGAGGCAGCAGUAGGGAAUCUUCCGCAAUGGGCGAAAGCCUGACGGAGCAACGCCGCGUGAGUGAUGAAGGUCUUCGGAUCGUAAAACUCUGUUAUUAGGGAAGAACAAAUGUGUAAGUAACUAUGCACGUCUUGACGGUACCUAAUCAGAAAGCCGCGGCUAACUACGUG
Molecule: ribosomal RNA, 496 nt
Filed under: uncultured bacterium
Lineage: Bacteria
Description: partial 16S ribosomal RNA
Rfam family: Bacterial small subunit ribosomal RNA
Source: RNAcentral